Molecule: ribosomal RNA, 387 nt
Filed under: uncultured bacterium
Lineage: Bacteria
Description: bacterial SSU rRNA
Rfam family: Archaeal small subunit ribosomal RNA
Source: RNAcentral
GCGAGAAAACUUUGCAAUGUGCGAAAGCACGACAAGGUUAAUCCGAGUGGUUUCUGCUAAAGGAACCUUUUGUUAGUCCUAGAAACACUAACGAAUAAGGGGUGGGCAAGUUCUGGUGUCAGCCGCCGCGGUAAAACCAGCACCUCAAGUGGUCAGGAUGAUUAUUGGGCCUAAAGCAUCCGUAGCCGGCUCUGUAAGUUUUCGGUUAAAUCUGUACGCUCAACGUACAGGCUGCCGGGAAUACUGCAGAGCUAGGGAGUGGGAGAGGUAGACGGUACUCGGUAGGAAGGGGUAAAAUCCUUUGAUCUAUUGAUGACCACCUGUGGCGAAGGCGGUCUACCAGAACACGUCCGACGGUGAGGGAUGAAAGCUGGGGGAGCAAACCGG